AGAGUUUGAUCCUGGCUCAGAGCGAACGCUGGCGGCAUGCUUAACACAUGCAAGUCUCACGGGCAGCAAUGUCAGUGGCGGACGGGUGAGUAACGCGUAGGAAUCUGUCCUUAGGUGGGGGAUAACUGUGGGAAACUACAGCUAAUACCGCAUGAUACCUGUGGGUCAAAGGCGCGAGUCGCCUAAGGAGGAGCCUGCGU
RNAcentral lists this ribosomal RNA (200 nucleotides) under uncultured bacterium. RNAcentral's name for it is "partial 16S ribosomal RNA". It matches the Rfam family "Bacterial small subunit ribosomal RNA", at positions 8 to 236 of the family's 1533-position model. The record is from RNAcentral.